Melanotaenia boesemani (Boeseman's rainbowfish) is the source of this 773-nucleotide long non-coding RNA. RefSeq lists it as uncharacterized. The record is from RefSeq and is a predicted model, not a curated record. The transcript has 4 exons. Lineage: Eukaryota; Metazoa; Chordata; Actinopteri; Atheriniformes; Melanotaeniidae.
GAUAAUUCACUACAUUUAGAAAAAUCAAAAAAAGCUCCAGCAUUCCUUCCCUGUUCCUGGUACCGCUAGCUACCCUUCGAACUGAAAUCUAACCCAGCACAGUGGUGUGAGAAGAAAGACGCACAGAGUGGAUUUCAAGACGGAAAGGGUUGCACGAAUGUUGACCUUCCUAAACAUGCAACUGCAUUUCUUCUUCAAGCCAGGGAAACCCAUUUGACUGACACAGCAAAUGUCUGCUCAAACGGGCAGUCUGAGAUCUUUCCUUCAACGACGUCAACGAGCACAAAAGCCUCUUUUUGCUCCCUUCAUCUGAGCCCCUGAAGACCCAAUGGAUGGAUUUUAUUUUUGCUAGAAAUGUACCCACAAAACCUCCCAAAGUCUUUUAUGUGUGCACCCGGCAUUUCACAGAGGACUGCUUUCUCAACAUGGGUGCAUACAAAGCAGGUUUCGUUAAAACAGCUGAAGAUGAAGAAUGGAUCGGCACCAACUGUCCGUGACACAACUCCAAAGAGAGCUGUUAACCAAAUGGUGAGUGCAGUCCAGCUAUAUCAGACCGCAUUAUUGGAGCACCUAAAACAACAAAUGAGUAACAAAUGUUUGAGAGACAUUGUGGGGACCUGGAUCAACUAAAGAGUGGUGCAAUGGUGGUAUUUGACCAGAUUGUUCACCCUCUCAGUAUAAUUUUUUCCACCAAUUUGCAGGACAAGACCAUCAAAAAACUGUUAAAACCAGUUGAACCAGAGAUUAUUGUCACAAAAUAAACGGCAUGUUAU